CAAGUCGAACGAGGUGGCCCACAGAAUUUGAUAGAAACUUUGAGAGCUUGCUCGAGAAGUGGAAAGAGAAGGACGUGGAAUUUCCACCUAGUGGCAAACGGGUGAGUAACACGUGGGUUACCUACCUCUUAGAUGGGGAUACCAAUUGGAAACGAUUGUUAAUACCGAAUGUGAUCUACGGAUUAAAGGAAGCCUUUAAAGCUUCGCUAAGAGAUGGGCCUGCGGUGCAUUAGAUAGUUGGUGGGGUAAGAGCCUACCAAGUCAACGAUGCAUAGCUGAACUGAGAGGUUGAUCGGCCACACUGGGACUGAGACACGGCCCAGACUCCUACGGGAGACAGCAGUUAGGAAUAUUCGUCAAUGGGGGAAACCCUGAACGAGCAAUGCCGCGUGAACGAUGACGGUCCUCUGGAUUGUAAAGUUCUGUUGUUUGGGAAGAACGGCUCUAAUAGGAAAUGAUUAGAGAUUGACUGUACCAUUCAAGAAAGCCACGGCUAACUACGUGCCAGCAGCCGCGGUAAUACGUAGGUGGCGAGCGUUAUCCGGAUUUAUUGGGCGUAAAGCGUCCGCAGCCGGUUUAUUAAGUAUAGAAUAAAACUUCGGGGCUCAACCCCGUCUCGUUCUAUAAACUGAUAGACUAGAGUGUGGUAGAGGCAAGUGGAAUUUCUAGUGUAGCGGUAGAAUGCGUAGAUAUUAGAAGGAACACCAGUGGCGAAGGCGACUUGCUGGGCCAUCACUGACGGUCAGGGACGAAAGCGUGGGGAGCGAAUAGGAUUAGAUACCCUAGUAGUCCACGCCGUAAACGAUGAGCACUAAGUGUCGGGCAACCGGUGCUGAAG
Molecule: ribosomal RNA, 838 nt
Filed under: uncultured bacterium
Lineage: Bacteria
Description: bacterial SSU rRNA
Rfam family: Bacterial small subunit ribosomal RNA
Source: RNAcentral